Molecule: ribosomal RNA, 355 nt
Filed under: uncultured Leptolinea sp.
Lineage: Bacteria; Bacillati; Chloroflexota; Anaerolineae; Anaerolineales; Anaerolineaceae
Description: bacterial SSU rRNA
Rfam family: Bacterial small subunit ribosomal RNA
Source: RNAcentral
CGACGACCUUCGGGAGCUUGCACAGGUGCUGCAUGGCUGUCGUCAGCUCGUGUCGUGAGAUGUUCGGUUAAGUCCGCUAACGAGCGCAACCCUCGCUGUGUGUUACAAGUGUCACACGGUACUGCCGGUCUUAAGCCGGAGGAAGGUGGGGAUGACGUCAAGUCAGCAUGGCCUUUAUGUCCUGGGCUACACACACGCUACAAUGGCCAACACAAUAGGUUGCUAAGCCGCGAGGUGGAGCCAAUCCUCAAAGUUGGUCUCAGUUCAGAUUGCAGGCUGCAACCCGCCUGCAUGAAGAUGGAGUUGCUAGUAACCGCAGGUCAGCUAUACUGCGGUGAAUACGUUCCCGGGGCUU